Molecule: long non-coding RNA, 907 nt
Filed under: Mytilus galloprovincialis (Mediterranean mussel)
Lineage: Eukaryota; Metazoa; Mollusca; Bivalvia; Mytilida; Mytilidae
Source: RNAcentral
CGCCUAAUUUUUUUCUUGCGUAUUAUUGAUGUUUCAAAAGAUGUCGCUUAGAUAUUUGGAAUAUGGUAUCGUAUAGUUUAUACGCUUUAAAAAUUUACAACUGUGUAACAAAAUACUUUACGUUGUAAGAGUUAUCUCCCCAAACACUGUUUUUCUUGUGGCCACUACUCCUUCACAACCGUUAAAGAUUACGACAAAUUUAUUUUACCAAAUUGCUCGUUACAUCUUCAGGAUUAGGAUAUUCAUUUGGACCGAAGCUUUACGGAGACUCCAUAUGAGAGUUAUUCCCCCUUUUCCCUUAAAUUAAGUGAUAUGCAUUUCUAAAUGGUAAACCGUAAGUGAUAAAGACAUAGGGUCUUUAGAUUUGGGGUCCUUGGUCGAAAAUAAUAAAAAUGAGGUCAAGGUCAAAGGUCAAGGUCAUAUUCUAAAUUUUGAUUUUGGCUUAUUUUCAUUUAUUUUCAAAUACCUUAUGACAUAUCGACAAAUAAUUUUUCAUAAAUUGUUAGUUGCGACAUGUCCUUACUUGUAUAUUUUGAUUGAAAGGGUGCGCAGACAAUAAAUAGGAGUUUUUGCCCAUCUUACAUUUAGAAUUACGCGUAAAGUGAUAUUACUAAUAAACCAAACAUAUUAAAGACCUUGGGUCUUUUGAUUUAAGGUCCUUGGUUUGUGAACUUGAAAUUGAGGUCAAGGUCAUAGGUUAAUAUGACGUUCUAGAUUUUGACCUUUGCUUUAAAUUCAUAUAAAUACAUCAUACAGCCAUAGGAACUAACAUUUUAAACUGAUUUUUAAUAUUUCAAUAUCAAAAAAGAUCUUUUCUAGUGGAAAGACCUACAAUUGUUCUCUGAACAAUUGGUUUUUAAUUAUUAUUAAGUUUUUUUUUUUUUCUUCCGACCUAAUUUUUUUUCUU